RNAcentral lists this ribosomal RNA (428 nucleotides) under uncultured prokaryote. RNAcentral describes it as "bacterial SSU rRNA". It matches the Rfam family "Bacterial small subunit ribosomal RNA", at positions 355 to 774 of the family's 1533-position model. The record is from RNAcentral.
UGGGGAAUAUUGCGCAAUGGGCGAAAGCCUGACGCAGCAACGCCGUGUGAGGGAUGAAGGCUUUCGGGUCGUAAACCUCUGUCAGAAGGGAAGAACGGGCAUUGGUCUAAUAGGCCUUUGUUUUGACGGUACCUUCAGAGGAAGCACCGGCUAACUCCGUGCCAGCAGCCGCGGUAAUACGGAGGGUGCAAGCGUGAUUCGGAAUUACUGGGCGUAAAGCGCACGUAGGCCGCUUUGUAAGUCAGGGGUGAAAUCCCACGGCUCAACCGUGGAACUGCACUUGAAACUGCGAAGCUUGAAUCCUGGAGAGGGUGGCGGAAUUCCUGGUGUAGGAGUGAAAUCCGUAGAUAUCAGGAGGAACACCGGUGGCGAAGGCGGCCACCUGGACAGGUAUUGACGCUGAGGUGCGAAAGUGUGGGGAGCAAACA